GCGCCUACUCGGAGGAUGAAAUUUGGAAUCGCGAGGUUUGGUGGAGUCUUUGUUUGAAUCAAACUUUGAGGGUGAAAUUAGGGUUUUAUGUAUUUCGGUUCAGUCGAAGAAAUUAGGGUUUUGAUGGUUGGUUUUCGUCGGUUGAUUGGUUUCUGCCCAAUAGUCCCACACUCCCACUUCUCCUCAAUUAUCAGCAUGUAUCCCCAUCCCCUUUCCCUUCUCUCUCUAACCGUCUGCCAUUCAUAUCCACUUCCUUCCUCCAAUCCUUCUUCCACCGCUGCCCAUCGUGCACCCUUGCCGAUAACCACCAGCGCCACCCUAUUUCACCCCUGCAACUCUCCGGCCAUCGUCACUUCUAUAUGUAAGAUCUUUGUCUACAACUUCUUCUCCGCCAAUGCCUACCACAUCCUACCCUCAUUCUCGAUAUUUUCUAAUAUUUGCUAAGUAGUUUUUUCUCCUUGCAGGUAUGAUGAACCUAUUUCGUAGUAAUUCUAUAAGGUUAUCAAAUGUGAAAUGUCUAUCACAUGCUACAUGUCCUUUUCAUUCGAUGCUCUUCUACUUCGAAAGGCAAUUUAUGUUUAUUAGGUUUUAUCACUCUGACUAUUUGUUUAAGUUUCUAUUUUUUCAUGCAUUGAGUUUUGUUUUGAAGGGUUUAUUAUUCUCUUAUGAGAUUUUCGGAUUUUCGCAGAUUAUUUGUUUGAUUUUGGAAGAAGAAUAUUAAGUGGGGCUCCAAAUUGGGCCAGCAAUCAAACCCAAAGACAAUGAUCUUCUAAUGGCUUACACUAAUCAAUUGGAGCAAUUCCAGUUGAGGGGAAAAAAGUAGUAGUUGUCUUGGAAAGAAAUGUGAUUGGGUUAAACACCUAACUUAUCUUGCGAUUCCUUGAAUUGAAAUGUGAUUCUUUUUACUUC
Long non-coding RNA from Rhododendron vialii, 909 nucleotides. RefSeq lists it as uncharacterized. The transcript is spliced from 3 exons. NCBI's taxonomy places the organism in Eukaryota, Viridiplantae, Streptophyta, Magnoliopsida, Ericales, Ericaceae. The record is from RefSeq and is a predicted model, not a curated record.